UACGUAGGGGGCAAGCGUUGUCCGGAUUCAUUGGGCGUAAAGAGCGUGUAGGCGGCCAGGUAGGUCGGUUGUGAAAACUGGAGGCUCAACCUUCAGACGUCGACCGAAACCAUCUGGCUAGAGUCCGGGAGAGGAGAGUGGAAUUCCUGGUGUAGCGGUGAAAUGCGCAGAUAUCAGGAGGAACACCGGUGGCGAAGGCGGUUCUCUGGGCAUGUCCUGACGCUGAGGAGCGAAAGUGUGGGGAGCGAACAGG
This 253-nucleotide ribosomal RNA is filed under the name uncultured bacterium. RNAcentral's name for it is "partial 16S ribosomal RNA". It matches the Rfam family "Bacterial small subunit ribosomal RNA", at positions 524 to 776 of the family's 1533-position model. The record is from RNAcentral.